RNAcentral lists this unclassified non-coding RNA (507 nucleotides) under Leishmania donovani. RNAcentral's name for it is "gene:unknown". The record is from RNAcentral. Lineage: Eukaryota; Euglenozoa; Kinetoplastea; Trypanosomatida; Trypanosomatidae.
CUGCAUCAUGCAAGUGCGCGAUCGAGGACCCAGAAGCGAUGACAAUCGCCAAGAACGCCACCAAGGGCCAUAGCACGGCGCGAGGAGGGGGGAACCAAGCGAAGCAAAGAGCGCCGGGCCUCGCUCUUUCCCUGCAAAAGCAAAACACAAUUAUUUAGGACCGUAUCAGUGCUUGCCUACAUGUUUUUCUGGAUCCUCUCCCUCGCUUUCGAGCGUGCGCGACCACGAGCAAUGUGCGCGUGUGACUCUCAGGGCUUCCCCUGCCGCCACCGACUGCCUCCCUCUUUUCAGAGCGGGGUGGCUGAUUUGCUGGUUCCCUCGAGCAAGCGUGCCGCCUCCUCCACCACGGUCUCAGACGGUGCGUCUUCUUUCCGCGCGUCGCGCUAUGUCUUCACCAGUACCAGCACCCCCCCUCUUUUCGCGGCUUUCAUCACCCGCUUUCACCUGCUCUCUUCUCUCACUUCGGCAUUCCCACAUCACCUCCGCUCCUUUAUCCACCGUGAGCAG